This 433-nucleotide ribosomal RNA is filed under the name uncultured bacterium. RNAcentral describes it as "bacterial SSU rRNA". It matches the Rfam family "Bacterial small subunit ribosomal RNA", at positions 355 to 796 of the family's 1533-position model. The record is from RNAcentral.
UCGAGGAUCUUCGGCAAUGGGCGCAAGCCUGACCGAGCGACGCCGCGUGCGCGAUGAAGGCCUUCGGGUUGUAAAGCGCUGUCGAGGGGGAGGAAAGCCGCAAGGUCUGACCUAUCCCUGGAGGAAGCACGGGCUAAGUUCGUGCCAGCAGCCGCGGUAAGACGAACCGUGCGAACGUUGUUCGGAUUCACUGGGCUUAAAGGGCGCGUAGGCGGAUCACCAAGUCCGGGGUGAAAUCUUUCGGCUCAACCGGAAAAUAGCCUUGGAUACUGGUGGUCUGGAGGGAGGUAGGGGCAUGCGGAACUUCCGGUGGAGCGGUGAAAUGCGUAGAUAUCGGAAGGAACGCCGGUGGCGAAAGCGGCGUGCUGGACCUCUUCUGACGCUGAGGCGCGAAAGCCAGGGGAGCAAACGGGAUUAGAUACCCCCGUAGUCC